Molecule: ribosomal RNA, 451 nt
Filed under: uncultured bacterium
Lineage: Bacteria
Description: partial 16S ribosomal RNA
Rfam family: Bacterial small subunit ribosomal RNA
Source: RNAcentral
GAUGAACGCUGGCGGCGUGCCUAACACAUGCAAGUCGAGCGGCAGCGAGGGGUGCUUGCACCCUGUCGGCGAGCGGCGGACGGCUGAGUAACGCGUGGGAACGUGCCCCAAAGUGAGGAAUAACUGCCCGAAAGGGUAGCUAAUACCGCAUAUUAUCUUCGGAUCAAAGGAUUUAUCCGCUUUGGGAGCGGCUCGCGUCGGAUUAGGUAGUUGGUGAGGUAAUGGCUCACCAAGCCGACGAUCCGUAGCUGGUCUGAGGGGAUGACCAGCCAGACUGGAACUGAGACACGGUCCAGACUCCUACGGGAGGCAGCAGUGAGGAAUCUUCCACAAUGGGCGAAAGCCUGAUGGAGCAACGCCGCGUGCAGGACGAAGGCCUUCGGGUUGUAAACUGCUUUUAUAAGUGAGGAAUAUGACGGUAACUUAUGAAUAAGGAUCGGCUAACUACGUG